CGAUCCCAGUAGCCGCCGCCUCUGAAGCAGAAGCAACAACAACUGCUCCUGUUGAGGUGAAGGAGAAAGAGAUAGUUGUUGAAGCAGAAGCAAAGAAAGAGGAAGAACCAGCACCAGCACCAGCACCAGCACCUGCACCUGCACCUGCACCUGCACCUGCACCUGCACCUGCGGCGGCACCUGCAGCUGAGGUGGCACCUGCUGAGGUAGCACCUGCAGCUGACGUGGCACCUGCCAAGGUGGAAGAAGCACCUGCAGCAGUAGCAGCACCAGAACCACCAAAAGCUUGAUGAAUCUUUCAAUUUGUUUGUCUCUCUGUGUAAGAGUUGAUUUUUUAUUUUAUUUUUCUUUGUCUGUUGAUUUUUCUGUGUUUUGUGGUCACUGUAUAAGAAAGAAGACAAAAACAUGAUUUGUUAUAUUUUUUGUUUGUGUUUUUCUCCCUUCUCUCUUUCUCGUGUUAGUUUGUACUUUGUACAAUAUUCUAUGUACAUUUUUCAAAGUUUUUCCUUUUGAUUCUUCAAUACUAUAAAAUGUGCCUUGAUAUAUAUGGUUUCUCAUUUCCUUUUUUCUCAGCUGACUU
This 580-nucleotide long non-coding RNA is filed under the name Nicotiana benthamiana. RNAcentral describes it as "long non-coding RNA (NBEN_LNC037876)". The record is from RNAcentral. Lineage: Eukaryota; Viridiplantae; Streptophyta; Magnoliopsida; Solanales; Solanaceae.